This 358-nucleotide unclassified non-coding RNA is filed under the name soil metagenome. RNAcentral describes it as "partial contains 5.8S ribosomal RNA, internal transcribed spacer 2, and large subunit ribosomal RNA". The stretch from base 1 to 120 matches the Rfam family "5.8S ribosomal RNA", at positions 35 to 154 of the family's 154-position model. The record is from RNAcentral.
GAUGAAGAACGUAGCGAAAUGCGAUAAGUAAUGUGAAUUGCAGAAUUCAGUGAAUCAUCGAAUCUUUGAACGCACAUUGCGCCCGUCAGUAUUCUGGCGGGCAUGCCUGUUCGAGCGUCAUUACGCCCCUCAAGUCCCCUGUGGACUUGGUGUUGGGGAUCGGCGAGGCUGGUAUUCCAGCACAGCCGUCCCUUAAAUUAAUUGGCGGUCUCGCCGUGGCCCUCCUCUGCGCAGUAGUAAAACACUCGCAACAGGAGCCCGGCGCGGUCCACUGCCGUAAAACCCCCCAACUUUUUAUAGUUGACCUCGAAUCAGGUAGGACUACCCGCUGAACUUAAGCAUAUCAAUAAGCGGAGGA